RNAcentral lists this ribosomal RNA (253 nucleotides) under uncultured bacterium. Its description in RNAcentral is "partial 16S ribosomal RNA". It matches the Rfam family "Bacterial small subunit ribosomal RNA", at positions 524 to 776 of the family's 1533-position model. The record is from RNAcentral.
UACGUAGGGGGCAAGCGUUAUCCGGAUUCACUGGGCGUAAAGGGAGCGCAGGCGGCAUGGCAAGUCUGAUGUGAAAACCCGGGGCCCAACCCCGGGAGUGCAUUGGAAAUUGCCAGGCUGGAGUGUCGGAGGGGUAAGCGGAAUUCCUAGUGUAGCGGUGAAAUGCGUAGAUAUUAGGAGGAACACCAGUGGCGAAGGCGGCUUACUGGACGACUACUGACGCUGAGGCUCGAAAGCGUGGGGAGCAAACAGG